Molecule: ribosomal RNA, 1372 nt
Filed under: uncultured bacterium
Lineage: Bacteria
Description: bacterial SSU rRNA
Rfam family: Bacterial small subunit ribosomal RNA
Source: RNAcentral
GAUGAACGCUGGCGGCGUGCCUAAUACAUGCAAGUCGAGCGAACGGACGAGAAGCUUGCUUCUCUGAUGUUAGCGGCGGACGGGUGAGUAACACGUGGAUAACCUACCUAUAAGACUGGGAUAACUUCGGGAAACCGGAGCUAAUACCGGAUAAUAUUUUGAACCGCAUGGUUCAAAAGUGAAAGACGGUCUUGCUGUCACUUAUAGAUGGAUCCGCGCUGCAUUAGCUAGUUGGUAAGGUAACGGCUUACCAAGGCAACGAUGCAUAGCCGACCUGAGAGGGUGAUCGGCCACACUGGAACUGAGACACGGUCCAGACUCCUACGGGAGGCAGCAGUAGGGAAUCUUCCGCAAUGGGCGAAAGCCUGACGGAGCAACGCCGCGUGAGUGAUGAAGGUCUUCGGAUCGUAAAACUCUGUUAUUAGGGAAGAACAUAUGUGUAAGUAACUGUGCACAUCUUGACGGUACCUAAUCAGAAAGCCACGGCUAACUACGUGCCAGCAGCCGCGGUAAUACGUAGGUGGCAAGCGUUAUCCGGAAUUAUUGGGCGUAAAGCGCGCGUAGGCGGUUUUUUAAGUCUGAUGUGAAAGCCCACGGCUCAACCGUGGAGGGUCAUUGGAAACUGAAAAACUUGAGUGCAGAAGAGGAAAGUGGAAUUCCAUGUGUAGCGGUGAAAUGCGCAGAGAUAUGGAGGAACACCAGUGGCGAAGGCGACUUUCUGGUCUGUAACUGACGCUGAUGUGCGAAAGCGUGGGGAUCAAACAGGAUUAGAUACCCUGGUAGUCCACGCCGUAAACGAUGAGUGCUAAGUGUUAGGGGGUUUCCGCCCCUUAGUGCUGCAGCUAACGCAUUAAGCACUCCGCCUGGGGAGUACGACCGCAAGGUUGAAACUCAAAGGAAUUGACGGGGACCCGCACAAGCGGUGGAGCAUGUGGUUUAAUUCGAAGCAACGCGAAGAACCUUACCAAAUCUUGACAUCCUUUGACAACUCUAGAGAUAGAGCCUUCCCCUUCGGGGGACAAAGUGACAGGUGGUGCAUGGUUGUCGUCAGCUCGUGUCGUGAGAUGUUGGGUUAAGUCCCGCAACGAGCGCAACCCUUAAGCUUAGUUGCCAUCAUUAAGUUGGGCACUCUAAGUUGACUGCCGGUGACAAACCGGAGGAAGGUGGGGAUGGCGUCAAAUCAUCAUGCCCCUUAUGAUUUGGGCUACACACGUGCUACAAUGGACAAUACAAAGGGCAGCGAAACCGCGAGGUCAAGCAAAUCCCAUAAAGUUGUUCUCAGUUCGGAUUGUAGUCUGCAACUCGACUACAUGAAGCUGGAAUCGCUAGUAAUCGUAGAUCAGCAUGCUACGGUGAAUACGUUCCCGGGUCU